CAGAAUAUAGCUAAACUAUAGCCAUUCCCUUACACUGAAAAGUUGGCUGCGCAACCCAGCCUAUUCUGA
RNAcentral lists this transfer RNA (69 nucleotides) under Laimosemion kirovskyi. RNAcentral's name for it is "tRNA-Val". Lineage: Eukaryota; Metazoa; Chordata; Actinopteri; Cyprinodontiformes; Rivulidae. The record is from RNAcentral.